UGGCGGCGUGGUUAACACAUNCAAGUCGAACGGUGAACCAGAGGUUGCUCUGGGGAUCAGUGGCGAACGGGUGAGUAACACGUGGGCAACCUGCCCCAGACUCUGGGAUAACCUCGGGAAACCGAUGCUAAUACCGGAUACGACCACUUCGGACAUCCGACGGUGGUGGAAAGUUUUUCGGUCUGGGAUGGGCCCGCGGCCUAUCAGCUAGUUGGUGGGGUAAUGGCCUACCAAGGCGACGACGGGUAGUCGGCCUGAGAGGGCGAUCGGACACACUGGAACUGAGACACGGCCCAGACUCCUACGGGAGGCAGCAGUGGGGAAUAUUGCACAAUGGGCGAAAGCCUGAUGCAGCGACGCCGCGUGAGGGACGACGGCCUUCGGGUUGUAAACCUC
RNAcentral lists this ribosomal RNA (396 nucleotides) under uncultured bacterium. RNAcentral describes it as "bacterial SSU rRNA". It matches the Rfam family "Bacterial small subunit ribosomal RNA", at positions 37 to 433 of the family's 1533-position model. The record is from RNAcentral.